AUUGAACGCUGGCGGCAGGCCUAACACAUGCAAGUCGAGCGGAUGAAGGGAGCUUGCUCCUGGAUUCAGCGGCGGACGGGUGAGUAAUGCCUAGGAAUCUGCCUGGUAGUGGGGGAUAACGUCCGGAAACGGGCGCUAAUACCGCAUACGUCCUGAGGGAGAAAGUGGGGGAUCUUCGGACCUCACGCUAUCAGAUGAGCCUAGGUCGGAUUAGCUGGUUGGUGGGGUAAAGGCCUACCAAGGCGACGAUCCGUAACUGGUCUGAGAGGAUGAUCAGUCACACUGGAACUGAGACACGGUCCAGACUCCUACGGGAGGCAGCAGUGGGGAAUAUUGGACAAUGGGCGAAAGCCUGACCCAGCCAUGCCGCGUGUGUGAAGAAGGUCUUCGGAUUGUAAAGCACUUUAAGUUGGGAGGAAGGGCAGUAAGUUAAUACCUUGCUGUUUUGACGUUACCAACAGAAUAAGCACCGGCUAACUUCGUG
This 484-nucleotide ribosomal RNA is filed under the name uncultured bacterium. RNAcentral's name for it is "partial 16S ribosomal RNA". It matches the Rfam family "Bacterial small subunit ribosomal RNA", at positions 30 to 507 of the family's 1533-position model. The record is from RNAcentral.